GCGGGAGUAGCUCAGUUGGUAGAGCGCUAGCCUUCCAAGCUGGAUGUCGCCGGUUCGAGCCCGGUCUCCCGCUCCA
RNAcentral lists this transfer RNA (76 nucleotides) under bacterium. RNAcentral describes it as "tRNA-Gly". It matches the Rfam family "tRNA". Rfam says of the family: Transfer RNA (tRNA) molecules are approximately 80 nucleotides in length. Their secondary structure includes four short double-helical elements and three loops (D, anti-codon, and T loops). RNAcentral also lists the same sequence under 1 other name. The record is from RNAcentral.